This 440-nucleotide ribosomal RNA is filed under the name uncultured bacterium. Its description in RNAcentral is "partial 16S ribosomal RNA". It matches the Rfam family "Bacterial small subunit ribosomal RNA", at positions 338 to 795 of the family's 1533-position model. The record is from RNAcentral.
CCUACGGGGGGCAGCAGUGGGGAAUAUUGCACAAUGGGGGAAACCCUGAUGCAGCGACGCCGCGUGAGUGAAGAAGUAAUUCGUUAUGUAAAGCUCUAUCAGCAGGGAAGAAAAUGACGGUACCUGAGUCAGAAGCCCCGGCUAACUACGUGCCAGCAGCCGCGGUAAUACGUAGGGGGCAAGCGUUAUCCGGAUUUACUGGGUGUAAAGGGAGCGUAGACGGCAGUGCAAGUCUGGAGUGAAAGGCGGGGGCUCAACCCCCGGACUGCUCUGGAAACUGUACGGCUGGAGUGCAGGAGAGGUAAGUGGAAUUCCUAGUGUAGCGGUGAAAUGCGUAGAUAUUAGGAGGAACACCAGUGGCGAAGGCGGCUUACUGGACUGUAACUGACGUUGAGGCUCGAAAGCGUGGGGAGCAAUCAGGAUUAGAUACCCGAGUAGUC